RNAcentral lists this long non-coding RNA (1841 nucleotides) under Lepisosteus oculatus (spotted gar). RNAcentral's name for it is "lncRNA (ENSLOCG00000021534.1)". The record is from RNAcentral. Lineage: Eukaryota; Metazoa; Chordata; Actinopteri; Semionotiformes; Lepisosteidae.
AUGUGGGAAUUACUCAGAGAACUGAACCAGCAACACCUAACUGAAAGUGGAAGGGCAUUCCAGCGCACACAACAGAAUCAGGGCUUUCCUCCCUGCAGCGCAGGUCUGUCACCGGGGGCUGAGGGCAACGCCUGGAAUACUCACACACCACAGCUCUCCUGCACAGGAUCCUGUACCAGCCCCACCUCUGCUCAAGAGCCGGUCUCUGUACCCGCGUGCUGGACAGUGGUUAUAGAGACACGAGCGGCAGUACGCGGUGAGGCGUGGCGCCACGGAGACACGUAUCCCAACACUUCCACCACCCCCUCCCCCCAACUCCCUUCCCGAGACAGCACUGGAGUAGCCCUGUGCCAGACUCGGCCCCAGCCACCGACCUGCGGCAGGAGCUACGGUAAUCCCCAUGCCGUACAGCUGAGCGAAGAGGAGUGUGGGAUUGUAGGGCAGACGUGUCCAGGAAACACAUCCUUGGAAUUGAUAUUUUUUCUAAUCAUGCUCACACGCAUCCUUGUGCUUCUGUUCAGCCUCUGCAAGCUCUUCAGUCCGAAUUACUUUGCUUUUCCACUCCAGCCCUGAUUCAGGUAUACAAGUUUACAUACGAAUAUAUACCACAUGGCACUGUUUAGCUGUGGAAUUUCCGUUUUUGGGAUUACUGGGUUUUAUUCUGCUCUCAGAGAGAGAGAAUAAAGACAUCAAGCCCAGAGUGAGUGUCUCUCUCGGGUCCCUGUGCUAGUUUUCCCUCGCCCUCUCCCUCCCUGGUGCUGUUAUUUUGUUGUUCUUGCUGUUGGCUGAACUCCUGCAGCACGAGGAAGUGGUGUGUGUCAUCUGUGUGGAGUGUCUGCAGCGUGAGGCUCUUACCAGCCUGGCGAAAUGGCCUCCUCUCAGGCCCUGUCGACUGAGCUGCUGCUCGCCUGUCUCUCAGUCUGGCGAGGGCCCUGCUGCUGUGUAGCCUUAAGAGACAGGAAACUUCCAAGCAGCCCUAGUCCAGCAGCCCUGCCUGAUCCCACACACCAGACACCUACCCCCAGCCCAGCACCCGGCUCUCUCCUGCUCUUACUGGCCAGCUGGCCUGUCACUCACCACACCUCCCUGGCUGGAUAGGCUAGCCACUGUUCCCUUUCCUGUAUGUCUGAGGGCAAGGCACCCUGGGAUUCGUAGUUCUUCUCUACUAUUCCACCUGCUCCAAAGCCCUCCUUGUGGACUACGUGUCCCAGGCUGCCCUCAGCCACUCCAACGUAAGCACCCAGGGCAGAAUUAUAUACUACAGUAUGUUGCUAGCAGGAUGCCAGGUACUGAAAGUACAGACGAGCCAUCAAACAGGCCUCGGUCUCGGAGAUAAACACUCCCCUCCGUGCCCUCCCCGAGCUGCAGGAGAACCCUGGGAGCUGUCCUGUGGCUCAGCCUUCCACUGAGGUUUUUCCACAGACUUUGAGAUUAAAAACACCCUGACCUAAAUUAACGCUGUUUUAGAACCACACGUAUCCAGUCUGCACGAAAGAUCGGCACACAAAGAAAUAAAAUAAAACUCAAACUCACCAUCUACUGUACUUACUGUACUAUACCAUACUGUACAUAAACAUUCGAGGUCAUUUCCUAAAAAAAUGAAAAAGUAGUUCCUGUUGCCUGCUACUGUACCUUGUCCAGUUUUUUUUUCUUCCUUUCUUUUGGUCUGUUUUCCCUCCCUAGCAAGGAAACUUUAAUUUUUAUUUUAAAAAAAAGAGAAGAAAAAGUAAAGUCUGAACAGAUAAGCCAGCCCUGCACACAGUGACAAAGAUAACUUCCUUUACUGAAGAAAAGCCAGACACUAGAUCUCAACUCCUGCCUGGCUGCCUGCUUUCCUCCCU